UCGAGUCUUUGAACGCAAGUUGCGCCCGAGGCCAGCCGGCCAAGGGCACGUCUGCCUGGGCGUCAAGCGUCGCGUCGCUCCGUGCUAGCCGUGACAUGCCAACGGCAUGGCUGUCGGGCGCGGAUGCGUAGAAUGGCCCGUCGUGCCCAUCGGUGCG
This 157-nucleotide ribosomal RNA is filed under the name Arethusa bulbosa. Its description in RNAcentral is "5.8S ribosomal RNA". Lineage: Eukaryota; Viridiplantae; Streptophyta; Magnoliopsida; Asparagales; Orchidaceae. The record is from RNAcentral.